This is a long non-coding RNA of Aptenodytes forsteri (emperor penguin), 739 nucleotides long. RefSeq lists it as uncharacterized. The transcript is spliced from 3 exons. Lineage: Eukaryota; Metazoa; Chordata; Aves; Sphenisciformes; Spheniscidae. The record is from RefSeq and is a predicted model, not a curated record.
UCUAGCAGCUCUCUAUUACGAUGACUUGUCACCAUUCAUUCCAUAAUUACAUUCUCAAGGUUAUUUCCAUCUCUACUCCUGAUGUGUCCAAAGCACAUAUAUUUACACCUAUUCAUUUCUGACAACCAAGUCUACUUUUCUCCAAUAAUAUAUUUAAUAUGAGCAUUUAUCAUCUUUUCUGCCCAGGAGAUAUGCAAGGGUCUUCGCUUGCACCACUUCUCAAAAGCUUCCGUUUUCUUCCUGUCACUAUCAAUAAUUUCUCCAAAUUCACAUUCGUAAGUUGCUACAGCAAAAAAUUAGGCAUUUCACCAGUCAAAUCUUUCUACUUUUUGAGGCAAAAUGUUUUUUUUCAGGCUUUUGUAAGGGAAGCCAUGGAUGGAUCAACUAUUCUUCAAAUUUUUCCAGUUUCUAUUGGACACGUUCUGAUUGGAUAAAUUUGAUCCCAGGUCAUCAGCCAGAAUGACAGAGGAGCGCACUGACAACAUAGUGAUACAGCAGCAGGGAAUACCGAGUAUCAGUGGAAGAAGAUUUUCCUAAAUUCAGGAUAUGCGGCAGCAGAGACGGUUUGUCCCUUGGCCUGUUGCCAGAGAUGAGAAAAGGGAACACAAGAAAAGGUAUGAAUGAAGAAAUGGGAAAGAGCAAAGAUGAACACGUGGUAGAGAAUCUGCAGCUGGCCAAGCACUGGGGAGUUUCACGUGAGCAAACAAAAAAUGCAGAGAUAGAACGUGAAAUAAAUAGC